Cinara cedri is the source of this 282-nucleotide non-coding RNA. Lineage: Eukaryota; Metazoa; Arthropoda; Insecta; Hemiptera; Aphididae. The record is from the annotation of a GenBank genome assembly.
AGGCCUUGAGGGAAAUACAAAUUGUAAGUAAAUGUUUAUACAAAUAAAACUAUACUAUUUACAAAUAAGUAAUUUGAAAUCUCCUUAUUUGUUUUUAUUUUUUGGUAUACCCAACUUAUGAAAACUUAACAUUACGUUAGUUAUAGUUGGAUUUAUACAAUGAUCACAUUUCAAAAAUAGUUCAGUCCAGUUUCUUAUGGACUAUAUAAAAUUACUACCUGUUUAAUUUUACAAUUAAAAAUGUAUUGAGAUAUUUCAAAAUUAUUACAUUUUGUAUUUGUA